UUCCAGACUCCUACGGGAGGCAGCAGUGGGGAAUAUUGCACAAUGGGGGAAACCCUGAUGCGGCAACGCCGCGUGGGUGAAGGAGCGUUUCGGCGCGUAAAGCCCUGUCAGCGGGGAUGAAGAAAGACGGUACCCGACCAAGAAGCCCCGGCUAACUACGUGCCAGCAGCCGCGGUAAUACGUAGGGGGCAAGCGUUAUCCGGAAUCACUGGGUGUAAAGGGAGCGUAGACGGCUGUGCAAGCCUGAAGUGAAAGGCGGGGGCCCAACCCCUGGACUGCUUUGGGAACUGUACGGCUGGAGUGCAGGAGAGGUAAGUGGAAUUCCUAGUGUAGCGGUGAAAUGCGUAGAUAUUAGGAGGAACACCAGUGGCGAAGGCGGCUUACUGGACUGUAACUGACGUUGAGGCUCGAAAGCGUGGGGAGCAAACAGGAUUAGAUACCCGCGUA
Molecule: ribosomal RNA, 447 nt
Filed under: uncultured bacterium
Lineage: Bacteria
Description: bacterial SSU rRNA
Rfam family: Bacterial small subunit ribosomal RNA
Source: RNAcentral